This 497-nucleotide ribosomal RNA is filed under the name uncultured bacterium. RNAcentral describes it as "partial 16S ribosomal RNA". It matches the Rfam family "Bacterial small subunit ribosomal RNA", at positions 28 to 507 of the family's 1533-position model. The record is from RNAcentral.
GAUGAACGCUGGCGGCGUGCCUAAUACAUGCCAGUCGAGCGAACGGACGAGAAGCUUGCUUCUCUGAUGUUAGCGGCGGACGGGUGAGUAACACGUGGAUAACCUACCUAUAAGACUGGGAUAACUUCGGGAAACCGGAGCUAAUACCGGAUAAUAUUUUGAACCGCAUGGUUCAAUAGUGAAAGACGGUCUUGCUGUCACUUAUAGAUGGAUCCGCGCUGCAUUAGCUAGUUGGUAAGGUAACGGCUUACCAAGGCAACGAUGCAUAGCCGACCUGAGAGGGUGAUCGGCCACACUGGAACUGAGACACGGUCCAGACUCCUACGGGAGGCAGCAGUAGGGAAUCUUCCGCAAUGGGCGAAAGCCUGACGGAGCAACGCCGCGUGAGUGAUGAAGGUCUUCGGAUCGUAAAACUCUGUUAUUAGGGAAGAACAUAUGUGUAAGUAACUGUGCACGUCUUGACGGUACCUAAUCAGAAAGCCACGGCUAACUACGUG